UACGAGGGGGGCAAGCGUUGUUCGGAAUUAUUGGGCGUAAAGAGCGUGUAGGCGGCCAGGUAGGUCUGCUGUGAAAACUCGAGGCUCAACCUCGAGAUGUCGGCGGAAACCAUCUGGCUAGAGUCCGGAAGAGGAGAAUGGAAUUCCCGGUGUAGCGGUGAAAUGCGCAGAUAUCGGGAAGAACACCCGUGGCGAAGGCGGUUCUCUGGGACGGUACUGACGCUGAGACGCGAAAGCGUGGGGAGCGAACAGG
RNAcentral lists this ribosomal RNA (253 nucleotides) under uncultured bacterium. RNAcentral's name for it is "partial 16S ribosomal RNA". It matches the Rfam family "Bacterial small subunit ribosomal RNA", at positions 524 to 776 of the family's 1533-position model. The record is from RNAcentral.